Molecule: ribosomal RNA, 427 nt
Filed under: uncultured bacterium
Lineage: Bacteria
Description: partial 16S ribosomal RNA
Rfam family: Bacterial small subunit ribosomal RNA
Source: RNAcentral
UGGGGAAUUUUGGACAAUGGGCGAAAGCCUGAUCCAGCAAUGCCGCGUGAGUGAAGAAGGCCUUCGGGUUGUAAAGCUCUUUUGUCAGGGAAGAAACGGUGAGGGCUAAUAUCCCUUGCUAAUGACGGUACCUGAAGAAUAAGCACCGGCUAACUACGUGCCAGCAGCCGCGGUAAUACGUAGGGGGCAAGCGUUAAUCGGAAUUACUGGGCGUAAAGCGUGCGCAGGCGGUUUUGUAAGUCUGAUUUGAAAUCCCCGGGCUCAACCUGGGAAUUGCAUUGGAGACUGCAAGGCUAGAAUCUGGCAGAGGGGGGUAGAAUUCCACGUGUAGCAGUGAAAUGCGUAGAUAUGUGGAGGAACACCGAUGGCGAAGGCAGCCCCCUGGGUCAAGAUUGACGCUCAUGCACGAAAGCGUGGGGAGCAAACA